CCGACUGUGAGCACUUCCGGGAUCGAUCCGGGAUCGAUUUAUCGCGUCUUAACCAGACGCGAUAAAUCGAUCCCAGAACAUCGAUGGCGUGCCGCCGGACCAGCCGGUAAGUGAAGACUAGGCCAAGGUGUUGGGGAGAAGUAGACAAAUGGAGGCUGGUGGUGAGUCGGAGGUGGCGCAAGGAGGGGAGACAGUAAGAUAUGAGAGUGCAGAAAUAGGCAAGUUGUGAAGGGUCAGCAGUUAAAAACUGGGACUUAGUCAUAAUUAUGUGUUCACUUUUUGAAAAGUUUAAUAUUUUUAGCCUACUUAAUACAGAACCUUGAUCUAGGAACUUCAAAUACCUCCAUUCUUCAGACCUCAGUGAGAAAUAGUUCAUAACUCUGCUUUUCGUGAGUUGGAGCAUAGAAUCUUUUUAUUCAUGUAAAAGUCAUUUUGAAUGUCUAGGUGUAGUCUGAAAGUCUCUACUUCAGUACCUCGAAGGAAGGAACGGCAUCUGCAUUCGUAAGAGCCACAGAUGCACUUCAUGGUAUUUAUAAGCUCUGUGUGGAAACAUGGAAACAUCACUAUCCACUGGCACAGAUGGGAAAGCUUGUAAAUUCCAGGAGCGGCACUUACAAUUUAAUUGUUGGAAAUUGAGUAAGAUUCCUUAAGUAAGGUGUAGUCCAGGGGUCGGCAACCUUUCAGAAGUGCUGUGCCGAGUCUUCAUUUAGUCACUCUAAUUUAAGGUUUCGCGUGCCAGUCAUACAUUUUAACAUUUUUAGAAGGUCUCUUUCUAUAAGUCUACAAUAUAUAACUAAACUAUAGUUGUCUGUAAAGUAAAUAAGGUUUUUAAAAUGUUUAAGAAGCUUCAUUUAAAAUUAAAUUAAAAUGCAGAGCAUACUGUCGACAAAACAGUAGAAGUGACUGCAGUGCUCCUCCCGCCAAUUUAACUCUCCUGCUACGCAGACAUAAUAAAACAAUCUCGAUGACGGCAUUGAGCAUUUUGUGACAAAGUUAGAGCAACACAGUGUCAGUGUAGACACUGCAUUUUCUUAUGUCGCCCUAAGUCAUCUCCAGGAAGUGUCCCACAAUGCCCCUCAUGACUGCUCUGGUAAGCAGUUUCUACUCCGCUGCCCUGCACCCAGGUAGACAGGCAUGUGCCCCUCCCCCUUUAAAGCUCUGUGAAUUUUUGAAAUUCCGCUUCCUGUUUGCUCAGCGUGGACAGCUCCCAUUGCAUCUUCCCAGCUGACCAUGUCAGCUUUCUGCAGCAAAGUGGCACUUGUGUGGAGUACACCAGAGUUACUGAAUCUGUUGGGUCUGUGGAAAGAGGAGGCUGUGCAGUUGCAGCUCUUAUCCAGCCAUAGGAACUUUGACCCCUAAGAGCAGAUUGCUCAUGGCAUGGAUGAGAAGGGACAUGAAAGGGGCAUGCAGCAGAGCCAUGCUCAGAUCAAGAUGCUGAGGCCAGCGUACCAGAAGGGAAGGGAGGCCAACCAUCGCUCAGUGUGGUGCCAAAAACAUGCUUCUACAAGGAGUUGCAUGCCAUCCUCCGCAGUGACCCCACCUCCACCGUCGAGCUCCAUGGAUACUUCAGGGGGAUGGGAGGCAGCGGCCAGCGGAGUCAAACCCGAGGAUGACGUGAUGGACGAGGAGGUCGAAUUCAAGGAGAAUGUGGGACAGGCUCCUCUGGUGGCGUGAUGAACCAGGACCUUUUUUUUUUUACUCCGGAGGGCCAGUCCCAGCAGUCCGGUUCUGGUGUGCCUGAAGCAGGAGUGGGGAGCUCCGAUGUGCUCUUGAGGGGCAUCUCCUACACGUUGGCGGAGCGCCUCCAUCUGAUAAGGAGGCAAACGAGGAGUAAGGAAGACGUGUUUCACAAAAUGCUGCAAUCAUCAGAUCUGGCUGAUCGCGAGCACAGAGCAUGGAGAGAGACAAUAAACAAGAAACUAGAAGUGGGUAGCCAGGAGAGGAGACAGAGUCAAGAGUGGAUAAUAAAACUCAUGGAGGACCAAACAGAUGCUGAGGUCCCUGAUUGCACUGCAGGUGGAACACGUGUGCUCGACUUGCCCUGUAGCCCAUACAGAACGUCCUUCCUUGCCCUUCCCAAACUCCCCACAUACAUUCCCAGUACGUCGCAGUACCCAUUGCGCUCCACCCCAGGGAUGUUUUCCAUAAUGACAUAUUGACUUUCAUGCAGCUAUGAGAUCCUCACUUCAGAGAGUGUUACUCACUGCCAUGUCCCUUUUGAGAAAUGUUAAUCUGUGUAUUGCUGUUUAAUAAAAAUUUAGUCUUACAAA
This is a long non-coding RNA of Chrysemys picta bellii (western painted turtle), 2270 nucleotides long. RefSeq lists it as uncharacterized. The record is from RefSeq and is a predicted model, not a curated record. NCBI's taxonomy places the organism in Eukaryota, Metazoa, Chordata, Testudines, Emydidae.